Molecule: long non-coding RNA, 1530 nt
Organism: Cheilinus undulatus (humphead wrasse)
Lineage: Eukaryota; Metazoa; Chordata; Actinopteri; Labriformes; Labridae
Exons: 4
Source: RefSeq, a predicted model, not a curated record
UUUCCAGAAAAGCUGAGACUAUCUGGGUUUGAAAGAAAGAAAUUCGCGCUAAACGGGUGAUAAGGAAACGAGCUACUAUUUGUUUUUAAGGAGAGACAGAAUUUUGAACCACAUGGCAGCUCACAGACUACUUAUUCUAGCCACCAGGAUAAAAUGGAAACUUAUAAAUGGAGAAUUAAGCUGGAUGGAUUUGUAAAGAGGACCGUUAUAAUGAAGACCUUCAUAGCGAGCUAUAUUGAUAAGCCCUGUUAGAGGGAAUCUUCUAAAACCCCAGAAGUGACAUGCUGACUGAGUUUUUGGGAAAGGCAGAGGCCAUGGAGGUUCAGUUGUCUGCUUCAACCUGCCGCCCCUUGAUCAUCUCCUCCACCCUCAGGCCCUCCUGACUCAUCUCCACUGUGUCUCCCUGUGGUAUCCACGAUGUGACACUGGCUCACAGCAAGCCUUGGAGGUUCGUUUUUCAUCCGUGUUCGGCCACUGUGCCCUGCCUUCCCCUCUGCCGAGCUCCUCUGACUCACACACUGAACACUGUUGCCAGGGCUACCAUUUAUUACUAUUGGUCCAUAACUUUGAGCCUCAUCACCAGGAAACAGCAUGGCUGAUGGAUGUCAGAGAUAACCUGUGAUGAAAACAACAGACACACGGCACACACAUGUGGCGUUUUGUCCAGGUAAUGUAGACUGUGAAUGAGAGCACCUAUAAGGGAGUGAGGUUACUAAAGAACAGGGUGUUCAAUGAGACUGAGGAGGAAAUUUGGAGCGGAAUGAGUUGGACACUAGCAACCCCUUGUGGUCAUGUUGGGUGAAUUAGUUACAUCCUGUCUACAUGGGAAUCUACACUGCAUCCCUGUGGUUCAAAAAUAGGUAAACAAACAACUAUUGUCUUCAUUGGCUCAGAAAGGGACAUAGAAUACUUGGUAAGCUUUUUUAAAUAUGUGAUUUUACUCUCUUAUAACAGGAAGGAAUUUAAUUUAAAGGGAAGUUUUUGGAAGUAUCUACAAAUAAGACACUGUGGGGAAAAAAGUUUCACUUUUCUCAUGAAAAAAAAAACAAAAACAGAACAACAUUUUUAAGUACCGGAAUUUUUUUAUUAUCCCAUCAAAAUGGGACGUAUUGUCUGCAAAUAGCAAAGGCAAUAAACCUUUAACCCUUAGGCAUCCCUUUAACUACUACACACAUAUGUCCCUAGAGGACAUUUUCUGCACCUACUUUAAAUGCUAAAAUUCAGGAUUCAUAUUAUUUUUUAAAACUUUUUUCUGUUAUCACUUCCAGCUCUGUUCAUGACACAGCAAAUCUUUGGUUGUUGUCAUUAUUUUAUGUUUUUAACCCUUUAAAUGGGAAUUUUUUUCAAUUUUUGAUUCAGCAGAAUGAGAUAUUUUCCAUGUUAAAAAUGCUAAAUGAAUUUUCUUUUUAAUUAUUAUUUAAAAUAACUACCAACAUCAAGUUUUAUGCAUUUUCAAUUUUUGUGCAGUGUCCAGAAAUUGGUGAAAAUUAUGCAAAAGAUGGACCCCCAGGAAACAUUUUGACCCCUACU